UACAAAAAAAUUUAUAUAAAAAUAAGGCAAUUAUUUUAAUUUUUAUCAAAUCACUGUGCUCGUUUUCGAAUCGAUGUUCACGUCUUUGUUUUCACCGCAUUGAUUGUUUUGUUGACAGUUCAGAUAAAUUACAGCUGAAGUCAAUCAAGAUCAGAAAAAUUGUGAUAAGCAGAAUAAUUCACAAAAAAGAACAAUCAUUCAUUAAAGACUCAACUCAAUCAUCAAUCAAUAUCAAAGAUCUCUCAAUCCACAAAUUCCAUUCACCAAAAAUGAGUCCCAAUCUACUUCUUCCGUUGCUAUUCGCUUGCACUUUCCAAAGCAAAUGUCUACCCAUAGCUGCCAAACUUGAAGGAGGGUUCGACCUAAAAAUUAAUACAAAAAAUGAAGGCACGCCACCUUAUGCAGCUUUAGGCGAACUCGAAAUGCCAGACAGAAAUAAAAUGCCAGCCGCCAGACACCACAUAAUUUCAAGAAAAGUUCUCAGAGACUUUUACAGUAAAGCAAUCGAAGAAAAACAGAUAAUAAAGCUACCCAAAUUUUUAGAGGAAUGUAUGAAGCAAUUCGAAACGUUUUACGGCGCAUUUGAUAAAUUUAACGAGAUGUUCAACAACAUUAAAGAAGUGUUCAAAGGAUUAGAUGCAGGCACCGUGUUUCAUAAAGAUAAAGGUCAAGAUCCACCAAAAGGUUACCUUAAUUUUAUAGCAGUGUACAUGUGGCUGCCGCAAAACCUAUUCCUAGGCCCUAGGCCAAAUUGUCGCAGCGACGAUCAAGGCGGUAAAUUUGAGAAGAAUUCAGAACCAAUAAUAGGUCAAAAAGAUUUCAACCUUAGGAAAAAAAUAAACGACGAAAUGGAAAAGUAUAUCAAGAAGAGCGGUCCAGCAGAUUUCAAGAAACUAGAUGAUGACUUAGAAUCCAUGAUGGCCAAGAGAAACGGCAACCAUCCGGAGCCUAAGGGUUCAAAAGAAUGGUACUCUUUUAAUAAAGACCAUUGGGUAGCUGGAACGUAUGAAAUAAAGGUACCUAAUACGAAGGUGAGUUGUGUGAGGGGUUACAAAGCCCCAAAGUCGUUUCUCAGUCGGCAUUUCGGGCAGAAUUUCACCCAGGCCGGCCAAAUUUUGGAAGAGUAAUAUGUUGAGACAAGGUCCGAAGCAAGAUAUCUAUUAUUAUUAUUAUUAUUAUUAUUAUUAGGUACCUCACUCAAGUAUAUCAUAUGUAUGCAUCAGUAUACCUUUUGAAUAAAAUGUACUCAAACGUUUCA
Molecule: long non-coding RNA, 1258 nt
Organism: Planococcus citri (citrus mealybug)
Lineage: Eukaryota; Metazoa; Arthropoda; Insecta; Hemiptera; Pseudococcidae
Exons: 2
Source: RefSeq, a predicted model, not a curated record